This 253-nucleotide ribosomal RNA is filed under the name uncultured bacterium. RNAcentral describes it as "partial 16S ribosomal RNA". It matches the Rfam family "Bacterial small subunit ribosomal RNA", at positions 524 to 776 of the family's 1533-position model. The record is from RNAcentral.
UACGAAGGGGGCUAGCGUUGCUCGGAAUCACUGGGCGUAAAGCGCACGUAGGCGGAUCUUUAAGUCAGGGGUGAAAUCCUGGAGCUCAACUCCAGAACUGCCUUUGAUACUGGGGAUCUCGAGUCCGGGAGAGGUGAGUGGAGCUGCGAGUGUAGAGGUGAAAUUCGUAGAUAUUCGCAAGAACACCAGUGGCGAAGACGGCUCACUGGCCCGGUACUGACGCUGAGGUGCGAAAGCGUGGGGAGCAAACAGG